This 1372-nucleotide ribosomal RNA is filed under the name uncultured bacterium. Its description in RNAcentral is "bacterial SSU rRNA". It matches the Rfam family "Bacterial small subunit ribosomal RNA", at positions 28 to 1381 of the family's 1533-position model. The record is from RNAcentral.
GAUGAACGCUGGCGGCGUGCCUAAUACAUGCAAGUCGAGCGAACGGACGAGAAGCUUGCUUCUCUGAUGUUAGCGGCGGACGGGUGAGUAACACGUGGAUAACCUACCUAUAAGACUGGGAUAACUUCGGGAAACCGGAGCUAAUACCGGAUAAUAUUUUGAACCGCAUGGUUCAAAAGUGAAAGACGGUCUUGCUGUCACUUAUAGAUGGAUCCGCGCUGCAUUAGCUAGUUGGUAAGGUAACGGCUUACCAAGGCAACGAUGCAUAGCCGACCUGAGAGGGUGAUCGGCCACACUGGAACUGAGACACGGUCCAGACUCCUACGGGAGGCAGCAGUAGGGAAUCUUCCGCAAUGGGCGAAAGCCUGACGGAGCAACGCCGCGUGAGUGAUGAAGGUCUUCGGAUCGUAAAACUCUGUUAUUAGGGAAGAACAUAUGUGUAAGUAACUGUGCACAUCUUGACGGUACCUAAUCAGAAAGCCACGGCUAACUACGUGCCAGCAGCCGCGGUAAUACGUAGGUGGCAAGCGUUAUCCGGAAUUAUUGGGCGUAAAGCGCGCGUAGGCGGUUUUUUAAGUCUGAUGUGAAAGCCCACGGCUCAACCGUGGAGGGUCAUUGGAAACUGGAAAACUUGAGUGCAGAAGAGGAAAGUGGAAUUCCAUGUGUAGCGGUGAAAUGCGCAGAGAUAUGGAGGAACACCAGUGGCGAAGGCGACUUUCUGGUCUGUAACUGACGCUGAUGUGCGAAAGCGUGGGGAUCAAACAGGAUUAGAUACCCUGGUAGUCCACGCCGUAAACGAUGAGUGCUAAGUGUUAGGGGGGUUCCGCCCCUUAGUGCUGCAGCUAACGCAUUAAGCACUCCGCCUGGGGAGUACGACCGCAAGGUUGAAACUCAAAGGAAUCGACGGGGACCCGCACAAGCGGUGGAGCACGUGGUUUAAUUCGAAGCAACGCGAAGAACCUUACCAAAUCUUGACAUCCUUUGACAACUCUAGAGAUAGAGCUUUCCCCUUCGGGGGACAAAGUGACAGGUGGUGCAUGGUUGUCGUCAGCUCGUGUCGUGAGAUGUUGGGUUAAGUCCCGCAACGAGCGCAACCCUUAAGCUUAGUUGCCAUCAUUAAGUUGGGCACUCUAAGUUGACUGCCGGUGACAAACCGGAGGAAGGUGGGGAUGACGUCAAAUCAUCAUGCCCCUUAUGAUUUGGGCUACACACGUGCUACAAUGGACAAUACAAAGGGCAGCGAAACCGUGAGGUCAAGCAAAUCCCAUAAAGUUGUUCUCAGUUCGGAUUGUAGUCUGCAACUCGACUACAUGAAGCUGGAAUCGCUAGUAAUCGUAGAUCAGCAUGCUACGGUGAAUACGUUCCCGGGUCU